This 1042-nucleotide long non-coding RNA is filed under the name Marmota monax (woodchuck). The record is from RNAcentral. Lineage: Eukaryota; Metazoa; Chordata; Mammalia; Rodentia; Sciuridae.
GAGCAAAGCGCCCCCGGCUCUGAGCAGCCAAGCGUCUCUUUUUCGAUUUCUUUGUUCUUCCUGCUCCUUGGCAAAGUGGUCCACUACAGAUUAACGGUGAAAGGAGCUCUAACAGACUGUGCAAAAUCUCUAUUAAAGCCGCUGCUUUGAGCACCACGCUCAGCACUUCAGCAACCCCCGUACGCAGCGGCCAUCUUCAACGUUCUUAUUUAUUUAUUUAAAAUGAGGAGAGUUAUUCCUUAUUAUUUGUGGCCUCCAUACUUGCAAACUUGCCUGUACACUGAAUUAUAUUUGUAAUCCCAAAAUUAAUAUUCACAGUAAUUUCCUGAUCAUUCAUGGACAUGUACAGAACAGCAAAAAUUCUGAGUCAUCCAUCACACAUUCCUAGCUGAGGUCAAAUAAGGUGACACUCAGUCCUGUUUUAGUUCUCAUUCUAUAAACAUGUAUUCUUUCUAUGGUCUAGUUAGUGACACAUUUUUCAUAUUUUUGGGCUUCUCAGUGAUUUUGCUAUUUAAAACAGUCCACAAAUUGGGCACAGUGGUAUACAACUAUAAUCCCAGCUAUUCAGGAGGCUUAGGCAGGACUGCAAUCUUGGACUGGACUGGGCAACUUAGAUGGCUUUGUCCACCAGCUCCCGCACCUUCCACAUGUUCAACAUAGUGUCCCACGCGGGCCGGGCCGCCGCCUCCCUCUGCUGUUCCCCACGGACCCCGGAAUACUUCUGUGCCGGGCAGGUCCAGGCCGGGGUCGCCGCCGCCACCCGCCGCCUCGAACUCCCCAAGUCAGCUCCUUCCCUUGCUACAGCCGCGGCGCCUCUGGUGACACCCCUUUAGUUGUUUUAUAUUUGGAUUGAAUUGAAGCACUGUUGUCCUUUAAAAUUCAGUGAUAUAUUUACAUAUGCACAUGUGCAAUCCUAAUGUGUUGCUAUGUUGAAUUAUUUACAUAUAUGACAGCCUACCUCCCCUUUUUUUCCUGCUCACUUGUACUUAGGUAGGAGUUUGCUUUGCUUCAGCAAUAUUCUGGUUUAGGCAGCACAAUGGGC